This 272-nucleotide unclassified non-coding RNA is filed under the name Hevea brasiliensis (rubber tree). Lineage: Eukaryota; Viridiplantae; Streptophyta; Magnoliopsida; Malpighiales; Euphorbiaceae. The record is from RNAcentral.
AAAAAAAAAAAAAAAAAACCUUCAACCAGGUGACCGCAGCCAAGAAAAUGUGUGACUGUGUGUGCAUGAGUUAGUAAUGCACGUGCCCUGCUUCUCCAUCUUGCCCACACACCCCCCUUCUCAACAACAAUUCUGAAAAGCUAGCUAGCUAGAUACAAGAGAGAGAGAGAGAAGGUGAGGUCCUAAAAUGGUGAAAUGGGGAGAAGAGGCAUCUACAAAUUUUGUGAAAUCAGAGACCACUCAUAUAAAAUGCAAAAGAAGCAAAAGAGGUG